AGACCCAUGAGUACGUCUGUUUUCAUCACUGUGAACACUUGAGGACCAGUGCUUCUGAGCUGAGGUCGUCUCACUCCAUGGCAGACAUUUGGGAUCAUUGCCACAGGAAGUGUGGAGGGGGCAGAGGCCAGAGAGACUGCUAGACCCCGCAUUGCGUGAUACAGCAGAAGAGAGCAUGUCCCUGGAUGUGAUGCCAGAAGAGCCAAGGCAUCAGGAUCCUUAGUGCCAUGGUGACCAUCCAACAGCCAUCGCUCACUGCCAACUGCAAAUCACAUUCACAUGCAAAUAAAGCAGCAGAAGGGCACAGGCUCAGGUAUCCCACAGCAACUUGGGGACAGUUGCCAAACUGACUCCCUUCAUUUUUCAUUGAAUGGAAGAGCUGCUGAGUCUCCUGCACAUGGAAACAUCACAAAGGGGACUGUCCUCUAACAGGAAGCAUGCUCUCUAAGAUCCUUGAAAACAACCAUAGAGCACAAUGAAGCUGGCAAGUCUGGAGAAGAGAAUGCUGAGCCCAGAGAAGAGACUUGGCCAGUGCCACAGCAUGAUGGUAGCAAGUCCAGCCUUCCAGCACCUCUUCCUUCUGCUUCACUGACAAUUUCACACAUGGCCGUGGUGAGCUAGCCUCAGCUACUGAUGUCCUAAGUGGGACCAGAGAAGACCUUCAGGAUUCAAGACAUCCACCCACUUCAAAGGGAGAGAUUAAUGGAUGCUGAUUUUAUGUAGUUUUCCAUGACCAACCAAGUCUACUUGAGAGAUGUUUUUGUGUUCACCAACCAACCCCUCUGGCAUUGGGCUAUCAGAAAAUGCUCCAUAAGGACCGUGUGUGAGAAUGGGAUUUGGCAGUAACAAUAAGAAUGAAAUGAGCCCAAAUCUCAGGAGAGAACCUCUCACAAAGCCUAACAUAAUACACAGAACCACAGAGUUUAAACCAAUGGAGAGCAGCUAUGGAAAACUGACUCUCAAUGAUGUUAUCUCAAAAUGUAGGAAGUUAUAACAACAUGGCCCAGGAAGGGGGUAUGAAGAGUUGUCGAUGAUAUUGGUGAAUGUGUAGAAUUCCAUGCCAUAAAUAAUGCAUACUUAUGAGGCUCAGUCAACUGUAAAAGUGAUGGACUAAGUAGUGGAGGAGGAAGAAGACACAUCAAGGCCACUAUCAAGUAAAUUCUGGAUAUAGACAUAUGUCAAAUAUGUGUUUAUUUUUGAUGCUGUUGACUUUCAACCAUAAAAGUCAAAGGAUUUAACGUGUUUGGUGUCUUAACCAGCUUUAAUUAUCAACUUGACACAGCCUGGAGUUAUCUGAGAGGGAAGCCUAGAUCAGAUUGGCCUGUGGGCAUAUCUGCUUGGUAGUUAAAUGAUGCAGGACAGGUGUCCCGGGCUGUCUAAGAAAAGCAGCUAAACUUCAGUCUGUGAGGCAACAAGCAGGGUUCGUCUGUGGAUUUUGCUUCAAGUUUCUACUUAAGUUCUUGGACUGACUUCCUUCCAUGAUGAACUGUGACCUGGAAGUAUAAGCCCAAUAAGCCAUUCCCUUCCUUGAGUUGCUUUUGGUCAAUGUUUUACCCCAGCACAAGGAAUGAAGCGGGAACAUGUUAUUUAUAUCCCACCAGGAAUGCCUUCUACGCAUGUGAGGAUCCUGCCUGGAGCACUUCCUCUUAGACCGAAUCAAGUUUUAAAGAUGACAGCAGCCAACACAAUGCUCAGACCUGCCCUUGCAGGAAACACCUAAGGGACAAUUCUAAUUUAUUCUUGUUGUACUUUCUCUGACAGAACUAGCACAUUAACAGAGUACUGGAGAGAGAGAAUGCAGCAGGGUCCUUUUAGACUCAGUGCAAAAUGGAAACACAUUCUCUAGGUUGUUAAACUUUCCCCUGCGUUUGUUCUAGAUGAGAGGCUAGAUCUCAGGCAGGGGCCCACAGAUGGUCGCCGGCCAAGAGAGCAUUCCUGGUGACAGGAGAAGGCACCUUCCUAUCUCAGGAGAAGGAAAUACAGGACUACCCCUGUUACCAGAAGCACCGCACCGAGGAAGACCCUAACCGCCUUCCUCCGCUCCACAGGCGUCCUACAUCCCUGAGCAGACUAAUUCUUAGCAAUUCUAAUAGUGACAGGUGGCUCUAAAAUUUACAGCUCAUAUGAUAUUGAAAUGUGCGUUGAAGUUAACUUAGCUUUACUGUAUUUGUGAUCCUAUUCCAAAAUAAGCUGGGAGAAGAUAUGGGGACGUCUGCAGGGUGUUAGAAAAGGGAAGUCGGGUCGGUACAAACUGAAUAGGUGGUAUUAAUUAUGAAACUAACAAAGAAUAUAACAAACAAAAUGAUUAGGAAGAAAUGUAUCUUUAUAUAUGUAGUAUGAGAAUAUUACUAUGUUAAAACAAACUUUAACAAGCCUGAUACGGGUGCUUAAAACCAACCUCAGGUCCUUCUGCAAGCAGAAAGCAUUCUUAACUGCUGAGUCAUCUCUCAGUCUUAUUUUUAGAAUUAAAGUAAAAUAUGACAAGUUUUAAUCAACUACUUUAAAUAAUUUUUCUCUCUUAAAAUAUGAGCCAUAGAUUUUCUGUAGCUUUUAUUUCUAAUAAUGUAGCUUUGUUAUUUUUCCUGAAAUUUCCUAUAAGCCUCCUAUAAAAGUAUACAUUUUUAUUAAGAAAUAUGAAAUUUGUAAAAAAGAUGUUAUAACUAACACCAAAACUUUAAAAGUACUGUAAAGCUUCUGGGACUUUGUAUUUUUUAAUGCUGGUUAAGAAAAAUGUGAUUAUGUGUGGUACAGGCCUAUAAUCCCAGUUGCUUGGGAGUCUGAGGCAGGAGGUCUGAAAGUUUAAAGCCAGUGGUUCAAGGUUAGCCUGGGCAAACUGCUGGGAUCUUUUCUCGAAACAAAAGUAAAAAGAGGGCUAAGGAAGUGUAAUAGUCCACUGUAAAGUGUUUGUCCAGCAUCUAAUGGGCUCUUAAUUUAUUUCCCUACUGAACAAAUAAAAUGUAGAUUU
Nannospalax galili (Upper Galilee mountains blind mole rat) is the source of this 2965-nucleotide long non-coding RNA. RefSeq lists it as uncharacterized. Lineage: Eukaryota; Metazoa; Chordata; Mammalia; Rodentia; Spalacidae. The transcript has 4 exons. The record is from RefSeq and is a predicted model, not a curated record.